RNAcentral lists this unclassified non-coding RNA (367 nucleotides) under Hevea brasiliensis (rubber tree). Lineage: Eukaryota; Viridiplantae; Streptophyta; Magnoliopsida; Malpighiales; Euphorbiaceae. The record is from RNAcentral.
GGGGACCACUGGGGAAGAGGUGGAGGUAAUGACUUCAAUGAUGAGGUCCGCCGCAUGAUUGGUGUCCAAAGCCGACCACCACCACCGUCCUACGUGUACUUCCUCCCUAGCUUCUUCAUUCUUCUGCUACUUUUCUCUUUUCCUAUUGGCUAUUGUAUCAAUUUCCACAAAUGCCCAUCCUCGCAUCUUCUCUAUUAUUUCCACAUUCAGCUUUACUGCAAUGCAAUAGAUUGCAACCAACAACUGUGUCUAGUUGUCAAACAGAUUCAGACUUCAACACCUAUUUACUGAUCAUACUGAAAUUGUCUUCACCUAUGCUUUGGUUGCUGUAAAAAUUUUAUAAUAACUUAUAUAUUUGAUUGAGAAA